Non-coding RNA from Corylus avellana, 3677 nucleotides. Lineage: Eukaryota; Viridiplantae; Streptophyta; Magnoliopsida; Fagales; Betulaceae. The record is from RefSeq and is a predicted model, not a curated record.
AUAAGUAACGGUCAGUCCCCACAGGUUCGUCGCCUCCGGUUCCCGCCACGGGCUCUCUUUUUCCCCUCUCCCUCUCUCUCUCUCGCGCUUGGAAAUCUCUGAGAACCUGUUCUGAGAGAUCUGUGGAAAACAUGGAGAAUAUGCUGAAGGACUUCCAGGUGGAGUCCAAUAACAUGUCGGAAGCGGCUCAGAGGAGAUGGAGGAAAGCGGUCACCAUAGUGAAGAAUCCCCGCCGGAGGUUCCGCAUGGUCGCCGAUCUCGCCAAGCGCUCCGAGGCCGAGAAGAAGAAGCGCAAAAUCCAGGAAAAGAUACGAGUCGCUCUUUAUGUUCAAAAAGCAGCAAUACAGUUCAUUGACGCUGCUGGUCGAGCUGAAUACAAGCUAUCAGAAGAGGCUAGAGAAGCAGGUUUUAGCAUUCACCCAGAUGAACUUGCAUCAAUUGUUCGGGGUCAUGAUAUUAAGGGCUUGAAAAUCUUUGGUGGAGUUGAGGGGCUUGCGUCGAAAGUCUGUGUCUCGCUGAAUGAAGGAAUCAGUGAAAACGAUUUACCCACUAGGCAAAAAAUUUAUGGAUUCAACCAGUAUACAGAAAAACCUUCCAGAACUUUUUUGAUGUUCGUGUGGGAUGCAUUACUGGACCUUACACUAAUCAUGCUUAUGGUUUGUGCUUUGGUGUCUAUAGGUGUAGGACUUCCCACUGAAGGGUGGCCAAAAGGCAUAUAUGAUGGUUUGGGUAUUCUUCUUAGUAUAUUCUUGGUAGUCAUGGUUACUGCCAUUAGUGACUACAGGCAGUCCUUGCAAUUCAAGGAUUUGGAUAGGGAGAAGAAGAAGAUUUUUAUAAACGUAACUAGAGAUGGAAAAAGAAAAAAAGUUUCUAUAUUUGACUUGGUCGUUGGAGAUAUUGUUCACUUGUCAAUUGGUGAUCAAGUUCCAGCAGAUGGAAUUUAUAUAUCUGGAUACAGUUUGUUGAUUGAUGAAUCAAGCUUGUCAGGCGAAAGCGAGCCAGUUAAUGUACAUGAGGAGAAACCUUUUCUUCUUUCGGGAACUAAGGUGCAAGAUGGUUCAGGAAAGAUGUUCGUGACAGCAGUUGGAAUGAGGACCGAAUGGGGAAAGUUGAUGGAAACUCUGAGCGAGGGAGGAGAAGACGAGACUCCAUUGCAGGUGAAGCUAAAUGGUGUUGCUACAAUUAUUGGUAAAAUUGGCUUGACUUUUGCUGUGCUGACAUUUUUGAUAUUGGCAGUAAGGUAUCUAGUGGAAAAAGCACUUAACAAUGAGUUCACACAUUGGUCAUCAAGUGAUGCACUGACGAUUCUGGACUACUUUGCUACUGCAGUAACCAUUAUUGUUGUUGCAGUCCCUGAAGGAUUGCCAUUGGCAGUGACUUUGAGCCUAGCCUUUGCAAUGAAAAAAUUGAUGGAUGAAAGGGCACUUGUGAGGCGUCUCUCCGCAUGUGAGACAAUGGGUUCUGCUAGUUGUAUUUGCACGGAUAAGACGGGAACAUUGACCACAAACCAUAUGGUGGUUGAAAGAAUAUGGAUCUCUGAAAAAAUUGUGGAGGUAAAAGGUAAUGCAAUUGAUGAUGUGUUGACAUCAGAAAUAUCUGGAGGAGUUCUAGGCAUCCUAUUGCAGUCGAUAUUUCAAAAUACUGGUUCCGAAGUAGUUAAGGAUGAAAGUGGAAAGAGUACCAUUUUGGGAACGCCAACAGAAUCAGCACUCCUAGAAUUUGGCUUGCUUUUGGGGGGCAAUUUUGAUGCCCAGCGCAGAGACUUUAAGAUACUUAAGGUUGAGCCUUUCAAUUCAGUGAGGAAGAAGAUGUCUGUGCUUGUUUCUCUUCCUGAUGGAGGGGUACGUGCAUUUUGCAAAGGUGCAUCUGAAAUGAUAUUAAGAAUGUGUGACAGAGUUGUAGAUAGCAAUGGAGAACCUGUUCCUCUUCCUGAAGAACAGGAAAAGAAUAUCGCAGAUGUUAUAAAUGGCUUUGCAUCCAAAUCUCUGAGGACUCUAUGCUUGGCUUUUAAAGAUAUAGAUAACACUUGCAAUGAGAACAACAUCCCUGAUAAUGGUUAUACAUUUAUAGCAGUUGUUGGAAUCAAGGAUCCUGUGCGCCCUGGGGUCAAAGACGCAGUUAAAACUUGUUUAGCUGCUGGAAUAACUGUUCGUAUGGUCACUGGUGACAAUAUAAAUACAGCUAAGGCCAUUGCUAGAGAAUGUGGAAUACUCACAGGGGAUGGGGUGGCCAUAGAAGGACCAGAAUUUCGUAGCAUGUCUCUUGAGCAGAUGAAGGAAAUUAUACCAAGAAUUCAGGUUAUGGCUCGGUCUUUGCCACUGGACAAGCACACCUUGGUAACCCAUCUGAGGGGUAUGUUUGGUGAGGUUGUUGCAGUUACUGGCGAUGGGACCAAUGAUGCCCCCGCUUUGCAUGAGGCAGACAUUGGACUUGCAAUGGGCAUAGCAGGAACAGAGGUCGCCAAAGAAAAUGCUGGUGUCAUUAUAUUGGACGACAACUUUGCGACUAUUGUUAAUGUAGCCAAAUGGGGACGUGCAGUAUAUAUAAACAUUCAAAAAUUUGUGCAGUUCCAGUUAACUGUUAAUGUUGUUGCCUUGGUGCUCAAUUUUGUUUCUGCAUGCAUCUCUGGAUCUGCUCCCCUAACGGCUGUACAGUUGCUUUGGGUAAACAUGAUUAUGGACACUCUUGGGGCGCUGGCAUUGGCUACAGAACCUCCAAAUGAAGGGCUUUUGAAGAGGCCGCCAGUUGGUAGGGGUGUGAGCUUUAUCACUAUGGCCAUGUGGAGAAAUAUUUUUGGUCAAAGUAUAUAUCAACUUGCUGUCCUUGGCGUUCUCAAUUUUGAUGGGAAACGGCUACUAAAACUUAGCGGUUCAGAUGCCACUGAGGUUCUCAACACUCUGAUAUUCAACUCGUUUGUGUUUUGCCAGGUGUUUAAUGAGAUAAACAGCCGGGAUAUAGAGAAGAUAAACGUAUUACGAGGAAUAUUUAACAGCUGGAUAUUCCUAGGAAUCAUGGUUGGCACAGUGACUUUCCAAGUAAUCAUAGUUGAGUUUCUGGGCAAUUUUGCAAGCACUGUGCCACUAAGCUGGCAACUAUGGCUACUCAGCGUCUUACUUGGAUCAGUUAGCUUGCCGAUUGCUGUUAUCCUAAAAUGCAUCCCUGUCGGAAGAGAUACAACUAAGCACCAUGAUGGUUAUGAUGCGCUCCCCACCGGCGAAGACCUGGCUUGAGACGGGGAAGGAAGAGGAGGAGAAGGAGCCGCUUUGUUUUUUCCUUUUCUGAAGCAACUCUAGAGAUUGAAGCAUAUGUUUGCAGCUAAGUUUGACCUUCAAACCUAGAUCCCCCCAGCUAGAUGGGCUGGUUAGCAAAAAUGAGGGAAUCAAAUGGGCCCAAAGAGAGUUGUUGGAUCGUUUCCGGAUCAGAUAGACAAACAGAGCAUAUACAUUCAUCUUGAUCAGUAAGGUGCUUGAGUCAUCCUAUCCAACCCAGUGGCCAUUGUGGAGCCCAAUUGAGAAAGGGGCUGAUUGAAUUUCCAUUUUAUCCAAAAUUGAACAUAACCAAUAUUCCCAUAUUCAGAGUCAAUCGGCUAAAUCAAAUCAUUCAAUUCAGCAUUAAGACUUAAGAGUAGGGUUAAAGGGAAGAGUAUAUAUUGAAAAAAUGAGCAACAAAAUAAGAGC